RNAcentral lists this ribosomal RNA (459 nucleotides) under uncultured bacterium. RNAcentral describes it as "partial 16S ribosomal RNA". It matches the Rfam family "Bacterial small subunit ribosomal RNA", at positions 338 to 795 of the family's 1533-position model. The record is from RNAcentral.
CCUACGGGAGGCAGCAGUGAGGAAUAUUUGUCAAUGGGCGAGAGCCUGAACCAGCCAAAUCGCGUGAGGGAGUACUGCCCUCUGGGUUGUAAGCCUCUUUUGUCGGGGAGCAAAAGCCGGAAGUGUCCUGCUGUGAGCGUACCCGAAGAAAACGCAUCGGCUAACUCCGUGCCAGCACCCGCGGUCAUACGGGGGCUGCGAUCGUUAUCCGGAUUUAGUGGGUUUAAAGGUUGCGCAGGCGGAUUUUUAUGUCAGCGGUCAAAUCGUGGGGCUUAACCUGUGGCCUGAAUUUGAAACUGUUGUACUUGAGUACUGGAGAGGCAGACGGAAUUCCUAGUGUAGCGGUGGAAUGCGUAGAUAUUAGGAGGAACACCAGUGGCGAAGGCGGUCUGCUGGACAGCAACUGACGCUGAGGCGCGAAAGCGUGGGGAGCAAACAGGAUUAGAUACCCGAGUAGUC